GAUCCUGGUUCAGGAUGAACGCUAGCGGCAGGCCUAACACAUGCAAGUCGAGGGGCAUCACGAGGUAGCAAUACUUUGGUGGCGACCGGCGCACGGGUGCGUAACGCGUAUGUAACCUACCUAUAACAGGGGCAUAACACUGAGAAAUUGGUACUAAUUCCCCAUAAUAUUCGGAGAGGCAUCUCUCCGGGUUGAAAACUCCGGUGGUUAUAGAUGGACAUGCGUUGUAUUAGCUAGUUGGUGAGGUAACGG
Molecule: ribosomal RNA, 252 nt
Filed under: uncultured bacterium
Lineage: Bacteria
Description: partial 16S ribosomal RNA
Rfam family: Bacterial small subunit ribosomal RNA
Source: RNAcentral